UUCGGCGUUACCAGGAGAGACAUGCCACCAUUAGGGCUUCAUUUCCCUGCAGUCUUCUUUAAAUACCAAAACUGCCCUGGGAAGGAUAAGACAUCAGUUUCUUCAUACUUCAGAGCAAAUGGGAUUGAUUCCCAGGACCUCCUUUCUGUGGACUGGGUUUUUGCCUCCUCACCAAGAGACUGGGCUCCCUGGGCGAGCAGAGGCUGCUGGGUUCAGUAUCUGAACACUUUUGCUAAAGGUCUCUGGAAAGCUCCCUGUGUUAAUUCUCGAUGAGACUACGUCUGUGCCGGCCGCUUCCUGAGCCUCCUUCCAUGUGCAUAGGCCUGCUGCAUGCUGGAGACCUGCGGCACAGCUGCCAAGUGCCCCGUGUGGUUCUGUGAUCUUGGGACAGUCACUUCCUCUCUGUGGUUGUCAGUCUUCUCAUCCCUAAGAUGGAAUAAAAAGGCCUACCUCAUUGGGCUCGUGUGGGUGAGGAGAACUGAAGAGUCUGAGAGCGCGGCACGAGCCAGAGGCUACGGAAAACACUGCCCUCCUACACUCCACCUUGGAGAGACCCAGAAAAGAACAAGCUUCAUUUGUAAAAAAGGAAAACAACUCAGGCAAUGGGGGUGGCUUAAAGGCACUCUACAGUGUGCAGAUGCCUUCCACUUCUUCCAUCUGCCCUGUCUCUCCAAGAACCCCUAUGGCCCCGGUCUCAGAACAGAGCUGAGUGCAGAAAUGAAAAUCUAUGGCUCUGUGUUCCAAAACGAUGAAGAAUUUCAAGAUGGUGGCAGUGGUAAAAUCUUUCUCCAGGAAAAAUCUGUCCUUGGCCCAAUGUGUAAACACUUGCUGAGGAACUUGGAAUAACUUGCAGUGUCUUGCAGUAUUGUGAAACCAGCAACUUGUUCACAAUUCUUCUGAAUUUCUUGGGAAAUUUGAAGUGGAGUACCUGUACCAACAUGAAAUGACACGAAUUUAAGUGACGCUCAACAACGAAAAGCAAAAAGAACCAAAGAGGAAGCAACUGAAACAACAUCUGGAUGUAUUUAAAAAUAUACAAUGCCUCCAAAAUCAGGUGUCAUUAAUGAAAAUUCUGAAGAAAUGCCACCGGACAUAGCCAACGCACCUACGCUGUUGUUAUUCAUUUCCUGCUUUUCACAGAAAACAAUUUUGUUGCAUGGAAGAUCG
This 1167-nucleotide long non-coding RNA is filed under the name Homo sapiens (human). Its description in RNAcentral is "non-protein coding lnc-RPLP1-12:10". The record is from RNAcentral. Lineage: Eukaryota; Metazoa; Chordata; Mammalia; Primates; Hominidae.